This 403-nucleotide ribosomal RNA is filed under the name bacterium. RNAcentral describes it as "partial 16S ribosomal RNA". It matches the Rfam family "Bacterial small subunit ribosomal RNA", at positions 355 to 776 of the family's 1533-position model. The record is from RNAcentral.
UGGGGAAUAUUGCACAAUGGAGGGAACUCUGAUGCAGCGACGCCGCGUGAACGAAGAAGGCUUUCGAGUCGUAAAGUUCUUUUAUAUGGGAAGAUAAUGACGGUACCAUAAGAAAAAGCCCCGGCUAACUACGUGCCAGCAGCCGCGGUAAUACGUAGGGGGCUAGCGUUGUCCGGAAUCACUGGGCGUAAAGGGUUCGCAGGCGGAAAUGCAAGUCAGGUGUAAAAGGCAGUAGCUUAACUACUGUAAGCAUUUGAAACUGCAUAUCUUGAGAAGAGUAGAGGUAAGUGGACUUUUUAGUGUAGCGGUGAAAUGCGUAGAUAUUAAAAAGAAUACCGGUGGCGAAGGCGGCUUACUGGGCUCAUUCUGACGCUGAGGAACGAAAGCGUGGGUAGCAAACAGG